GCUCCGCCUCUUCCUCCCUCCGUCCUCCUCCUCCUCCCCCGUUCCCCGGACCCGUCGCAGCCCGCGGGAGGAGCGGGAAUGGAGCCGGGCCAGGUCUCCACACAGUGCAGGUGGUUUCCAGCUGUGACCUCCUGUCCAGUGGAGCAUCCCUGGAUCCCACCGGUACGGCUCCGACGGGUGGGAUUUCAUCUCCUUCCAGCUGGGAUCCGGGAGCUUUGCGGUGUCCAUUGGUGCCACCUGGAUCACCCAGAGGUGCUGGGAAUCCAAAGGGAUCACGGUGGAGCAGAUGAAGCAUUACCUGGGACACAGCAGUGUGGAAGAGCUCCCAAAAUACAUCAGAUACGGUUGGAAGGCUGUGGAGCACAAAGGUGGGCGUGGGAAGGGUAGGAAUAUUUCUAUGGGAAUGUUGGAAUUCUGGAAUGGGGGACUUGGGAAUGCAGGAAUUCCCAUGGAAUUUCCAUGGCUGGAUCUCACUCUUAGUCCAGUCAGGUGAGAAUUCCUUGGAUGGAUCUCCCCUCCAACCCAUUGCCAUGGGAAUUCCAUGGGGAAAUGAUUUGAAUAAAUGACCAAUGCACAGACUGCAGUGAAAUGAGAAGGAAUCUCUGCUGGGAUUCCAUGGGACACAAAUCCCAAUCCUGUCCCCAGGCCGGCUCUGUUGUGCCCGUGGCAGUGCCAGGGGAGUGCCCUGUCCCUGCUCUGAGCCCAGCACGAGCCUUUCCUUGGGUGUUCUCUGCCCUGCCCAGGGCAGGAGGGCACUGCCGCAGUGACUUUGGUGGCCCCAGGCACCCGGCCGGGCUGCAGCCCCUGCAGGGCUCCUUGGGAAUGUCCAAGAGCAAAGCUUCAAGCAAACAACAGUUUCUGGAGGGGCUUCUCCCCCUUGUCCUGUGCUGGGAGCCCAAGGGCGACAGCGCGGGCACAACAGCUCAGAGUGCUGGAGCUCAGUGUCCCUGGGCCAGGCCGUGUUCCCUGGCUGUCCCCUGUCCCUUAGCUGUCCCCUGUCCCUUGGCUGUCCCCUGUCCCUCGGCUCUGUGGGACCAGGGAUGGCAGGAGCACCCGGGGCAGUCCUGGGGGAGAACAACCCUGAGCCCCAGCUGGGCCAGUUCCCCCAGUUCCACCCGGGGGAGGGGCCCAGGUCACUCCCAGCAUGGGCCCUGUGGCUCCCAGUCACCCCCAGUAUGAUCCCAGUCACUUUCAGUGACACUCAGUAUGAUCCCAGUACCAGCCCAGUCACUCCCACUAUGAUCCCACUGUGAUCCCAGCAUGGUCCCAGGUGUUCCCAUUCACUCCUACCAUGGUUCCAGCCACUCCCAGUACAGUUCCAGUCACCCCUAGUAUCAUCUCAGUCACUGCCACUUUGGCUCCAGUCCUUCCCAAUAUGAUUCCAGUAUGAACCCAGUCACUCUCACUAUGAUGCCAUUUGCCCCCAGCAUGGUCCCAGUUGCUCCCAGUCCCCAGUAUGGUUCCAGUCACUCCCAGUACUAUCCCAGUCACUCCCAGAUACUCCCAGUAUUCUUCCUUUAUGAUUCCUCUGUGAUCCCAGUCACCGCCAGUCUCUCCCAGUAUAUCCCAGUGUCCCCCAGUGUCCUUCCACUCACUCCCAGUUGCUCCCAGUAGCUUCCAACAGGAUUCCAGUUGCUCACAGUUAUUCCCAGGCAAUUCCAGCAUGAUUCCAGUCACUCCCUGUAUAUCCCAGUUGCCCCAAUAUGAUACCUGUUGCCAUCAGCAUGCUCCUAGUCACUUCCAGUAUGAUCCUGGAAUGACACCAGUCACCCUCAGUGUGGUCCCAGUUGCUCCUAGUAUGAUCCCAGUUGUCCCCAGCAUGGUCCCAUUUUGUCCCAGUGCAGUCCCAGUUGCCUCUAGCAGACCCAGUAAAUCCCAGUAUUAUCCUGUUCUGAUGCCAUGGUCAUCCCAGUCACUCCCAGCACAGUCCUAGUUGCUUCCAGUUUCUUCCAGUCUAAUCCCACUUGCUCUCAGUUGCCACUGCCAUAGACCAAAUCAUUCCAAGAAUGAUCCCAGUAUGAGUCUAGUGUGAUCCCAGUCUCCCCCAGCAUGGUCCCAGUCAAACCCAGUUGCUCCCAGUGUAGACCCCAUCACUGCCAGUUACUCUCAGUGUGUUCCCAGUCACCCCCAGUGUAGUUACAGACACUCCCAGUAUAUCCCAGUUGGCACCAGCAUAGUCAUAGUCAUGGCCAGUCACAGCCACUUGGCCCAAGAAGUCUCAGUUUCCACCAGUAUGAUCCCAGUCACUCCCAGCAUAUCCCAGUUGCUGCCACUAUGAUCCCUGUUGCCCCAGUUCUGGUCCUGCUGGGUACAAGUGUGCUCUGAUCCUGCUCCCAGUGGGUGCUAGUCCUGGGCCCGGUGUAUCCCAGUAUAUGCCAGUGUCCCAGUCGAUCCCAGCCUGUCCCAGUCUAUCCCAGCCUGUCCCAGUCUAUCCCUGUCCCUUCCUGGCAGCUGCCGCCAUUUCCCGGAUCCUGCCCCUCCCAUCCCCAGAGCUGCCGCCCCAAGAUGCUCCCGGGGCUUGGGAGCUUCAUGUUUGGCCUCAUCUGCUGGGCUGAGGCUUGACCUCCAACUGUGGGAGAAGGUGAGGGGGGGUCCCCAGGGGUCGUGUCCCCCCCUUGGAGCAUGUGUGACUCCCCCAUGUCCCCCCUUGCCGGGGUCACCCCCUUUUCUCCCACAGCACACUCCUGGAAAAGCUGGCAGCCCACGGCUUGGACAGGAGCACUCUGUGCUGGGUCAAGAACUGGCUGCAUGGCCAGGCCCAGUGAGUGGUGGGAAUGGUGCUGCAUCCAGCUGGCAGCCAGGCACCAGGGGUGUUCCUCAGGGCUCUGUGCUGGGGCCAGCUCUGUUCAAUAUUUUUAUUGGUGACAUGGAUGAGGGGAUUGAUUCUUUCAUUAGUAAAUUUGCAGAUGACACUAAGCUGGGAGCAUGUGUCGAUCUGUUGGAAGGGAGGAGGGCUCUGCAGAGAGAUCUGGAAGGGUUGGAUGGAUGGGCAGAGUCCAAUGGGAUGAAGUUUAAUAAGUCCAAGUGCCAGGUCCUGCAUUUUAGCCACAAGAACCCCCUGCAGCAGUCCAGGCUGGGGAUGGUGUGGCUGGACAGUGCCCAGGCAGAAAGGGACCUGGGGGCACUGGGGACAGCCAGCUGAACAUGAGCCAGCAGUGUGCCCUGGUGGCCGAGAAGACCAAGGGCAUCCUGGCCUGUGUCAGGAGCAGUGUGGCCAGCAGGAGCAGGGAGGUCGUUCUUCCCCUGUCCUGGGCACUGGUGAGGCCACACCUUGAGUGCUGUGUCCAGUUCUGGCCCCUCAGUUUAGGAAGGACGUUGAGACGCUUGAGCACAUCCAGAGGAGGCAGCGAGGCAGGUGAGGGGCUUGGAACACAAGGCCUGUGAGGAAUGGCUGAGGGAGCUGGGGUUGUUCAGCGUGGAGAAAAGGAGAUUCAGAGGUGACCUUAUCACUCUGUACAGCCUCCUGAAAGGUGGCUGUAGUCAGGUGGGGGUUGGUCUCUUUCUCCAGGCAGCAACUGUCAGAACGAGAGGAGACAGUCUCAGGGUGCAUCAAGGAAAUAUAGGUUGGAUAUUAGGAAAAGUAUUUUACAGAAAUGGUGAUAAAGUAUUGGAAUGAUCUUCCCAGGAAGGUGGUGGAGUCACCAUCCCUGGAUGUGUUUAAAGAAAGACUGCAUGUGGCACUCAGUGCCAUGGUUUAGUUGAGGUGUUAGGGUCUCAGGAGGGUUUUUCCAAGAUAUAUUGGUUAAGAGUCUUUUUUCCUUGAAUGCCCAUGCCAGAAGCAGUAGAAAGAGUUGGAGUUUGCCAGCCCAGGUUUCUCAAGGUUGUUUAUUGUCUCUUAUCUCUAAGUUCUUUCUGUGCCCACCAAAGAUCCUUGCUGUGGCAAGAGCACGAGGCAUCUCUCCCCCCAGGUUGGGCAUCCUGGACCUUUUGUACCUUUCUCUCACCCAGCUAUGAUAUGGAUGCUGACACUAGUCUGAAAUUUGGCAUCAAGCAGCCACUGUGUUUGUGUGAAAUCAUCACCUACUACCUUCACACAGGCCUGAGAAAGUGGCCUUGGAAAAAGAGGAAACCAAAGCAAACCCUGAGAAGUGAGAAAACAUCUGCAGGUGGUGUUUUUCCAAUGUGUUUUCUGACAAGGUUUUUGACAAAGAGUGUAGACUUUGAAUAACUAAUCAUGUUCUUGGUACUGAACUACUCUAUAAAAGUAGAAUUUGGAAGAAUAAAGUUUGCUCUCAUUUUACCAUUG
Long non-coding RNA from Prinia subflava (tawny-flanked prinia), 4246 nucleotides. RefSeq lists it as uncharacterized. The transcript is spliced from 2 exons. Lineage: Eukaryota; Metazoa; Chordata; Aves; Passeriformes; Cisticolidae. The record is from RefSeq and is a predicted model, not a curated record.